GCGAGAUUAGUGUAGCUGAAGGCGCAUAUCUGGCUUCCAACCAGAAGGCUUGCGUGGGUUUGAUUCCCACAUCUCGCA
RNAcentral lists this transfer RNA (78 nucleotides) under Caudoviricetes sp. Its description in RNAcentral is "tRNA-Gly". It matches the Rfam family "tRNA". Rfam says of the family: Transfer RNA (tRNA) molecules are approximately 80 nucleotides in length. Their secondary structure includes four short double-helical elements and three loops (D, anti-codon, and T loops). Further hydrogen bonds mediate the characteristic L-shaped molecular structure. tRNAs have two regions of fundamental functional importance: the anti-codon, which is responsible for specific mRNA codon recognition, and the 3' end, to which the tRNAs corresponding amino acid is attached (by aminoacyl-tRNA synthetases). tRNAs cope with the degeneracy of the genetic code in two manners: having more than one tRNA (with a specific anti-codon) for a particular amino acid; and 'wobble' base-pairing, i.e. permitting non-standard base-pairing at the 3rd anti-codon position. The record is from RNAcentral. Lineage: Duplodnaviria; Heunggongvirae; Uroviricota; Caudoviricetes.